GACGAACGCUGGCGGCGUGCUUAACACAUGCAAGUCGAGCGGUAAGGCCCUUUCGGGGGUACACGAGCGGCGAACGGGUGAGUAACACGUGGGUGACCUGCCCUUAGCUCUGGGAUAAGCCUGGGAAACUGGGUCUAAUACCGGAUAUGACUCCAUGACGCAUGUUGUGGGGUGGAAAGCCUUGUGCGGCUAGGGAUGGGCCUGCGGCCUAUCAGCUUGUUGGUGGGGUGAUGGCCUACCAAGGCGACGACGGGUAGCCGGCCUGAGAGGGCGACCGGCCACACUGGGACUGAGACACGGCCCAGACUCCUACGGGAGGCAGCAGUGGGGAAUCUUGCGCAAUGGGCGAAAGCCUGACGCAGCGACGCCGCGUGGGGAUGACGGCCU
This 387-nucleotide ribosomal RNA is filed under the name uncultured bacterium. Its description in RNAcentral is "bacterial SSU rRNA". It matches the Rfam family "Bacterial small subunit ribosomal RNA", at positions 28 to 417 of the family's 1533-position model. The record is from RNAcentral.